Non-coding RNA from Capsicum annuum, 107 nucleotides. The record is from Rfam. NCBI's taxonomy places the organism in Eukaryota, Viridiplantae, Streptophyta, Magnoliopsida, Solanales, Solanaceae.
UGAUGAUAGUGAGGGUAAUUUCUGAGCAUACUCUUAAAUCUCUCCUAAGUUUGGUAGAGAUUUGCUCCUUUUUUCUACUUGAAACUCAGAUUCUCGCUUCUCAAUCG